AACAUUGUGGUAGAGUGGUCUAAUGCGCAAGACUAGGAAUCUUGUCUCUUCGGAGGCGUCUGUUCAAAUCAGGCCAAUGUCG
Molecule: transfer RNA, 82 nt
Filed under: Lasiosphaeria miniovina
Lineage: Eukaryota; Fungi; Ascomycota; Sordariomycetes; Sordariales; Lasiosphaeriaceae
Rfam family: tRNA
About the family: Transfer RNA (tRNA) molecules are approximately 80 nucleotides in length.
Source: Rfam by way of RNAcentral